Molecule: ribosomal RNA, 253 nt
Filed under: uncultured bacterium
Lineage: Bacteria
Description: partial 16S ribosomal RNA
Rfam family: Bacterial small subunit ribosomal RNA
Source: RNAcentral
GACGAACUGGGCAAACGUUAUUCGGAAUCACUGGGCUUAAAGGGUGCGUAGGCGGUCUUUUAAGUAGGGUGUGAAAGCCUCUGGCUCAACCAGAGAACUGCGCCCUAAACUAGAAGGCUUGAGUGAGGUAGGGGUGUGUGGAACUUCCAGUGGAGCGGUGAAAUGUGUUGAUAUUGGAAGGAACGCCGGUGGCGAAAGCGACACACUGGACCUUGUCUGACGCUGAGGCACGAAAGCCAGGGGAGCAAACGGG